UGCGCAGGCGGCCGUGUGUGUCAGGUGUGAAAUCCCGGGGCUUAACCCCGGAACUGCGCCUGAAACUACAUGGCUAGAGUAUUGGAGAGGGUAGCGGAAUUCACGGUGUAGCAGUGAAAUGCGUGGAUAUCGUGAGGAACACCAGAGGCGAAGGCGGCUACCUGGACAAUUACUGACGCUCAGGCACGAAAGCGUGGGGAGCAAAAGGGAUUAGAUACCCCUGUAGUCCACGCCCUAAACGGUGCACACUAGGUCUUGGCGGAUUCGACCCCACCAGGGCCCAAGCUAACGCGUUAAGUGUGCCGCCUGAGGCUACGGCCGCAAGGCUAAA
This 331-nucleotide ribosomal RNA is filed under the name uncultured bacterium. Its description in RNAcentral is "bacterial SSU rRNA". It matches the Rfam family "Bacterial small subunit ribosomal RNA", at positions 568 to 898 of the family's 1533-position model. The record is from RNAcentral.